AUACGUAGGGUGCGAGCGUUAAUCGGAAUUACUGGGCGUAAAGCGUGCGCAGGCGGUUUUGUAAGACAGUGGUGAAAUCCCCGGGCUCAACCUGGGAACUGCCAUUGUGACUGCAAGGCUGGAGUGCGGCAGAGGGGGAUGGAAUUCCGCGUGGAGCAGUGAAAUGCGUAGAUACGCGGAGGAACACCGAUGGCGAAGGCAAUCCCCUGGGCCUGCACUGACGCUCAUGCACGAAAGCGUGGGGAGCAAAUAGGAUUAGAUACCCUGGUAGUCCACGCCCUAAACGAUGUCAACUGGUUGUUGGGAAUUUAUUUUCUCAGUAACGAAGCUAACGCGUGAAGUUGACCGCCUGGAGAGUACGGCCGCAAGGUUAAGACUUAAAGGAAUUGACGGGG
This 395-nucleotide ribosomal RNA is filed under the name uncultured bacterium. Its description in RNAcentral is "partial 16S ribosomal RNA". It matches the Rfam family "Bacterial small subunit ribosomal RNA", at positions 523 to 918 of the family's 1533-position model. The record is from RNAcentral.